This is a long non-coding RNA of Thalassophryne amazonica, 100 nucleotides long. RefSeq lists it as uncharacterized. The record is from RefSeq and is a predicted model, not a curated record. The transcript has 3 exons. NCBI's taxonomy places the organism in Eukaryota, Metazoa, Chordata, Actinopteri, Batrachoidiformes, Batrachoididae.
ACACAAUGAUUAAAUUUGUAUAUUCCACUCAGCAGCUUCAUCACUAACAAUGUUUCAAUGUGACUAAGGUUGUAAAAAAAAAGGUGAUCUUAUCCUUUAA